RNAcentral lists this unclassified non-coding RNA (390 nucleotides) under soil metagenome. RNAcentral's name for it is "partial contains 5.8S ribosomal RNA, internal transcribed spacer 2, and large subunit ribosomal RNA". The stretch from base 1 to 122 matches the Rfam family "5.8S ribosomal RNA", at positions 35 to 154 of the family's 154-position model. The record is from RNAcentral.
GAUGAAGAACGUAGCGAAAUGCGAUACUUGGUGUGAAUUGCAGAAUCCCGUGAACCAUCGAGUCUUUGAACGCAAGUUGCGCCCGAAGCCAUUAGGCCGAGGGCACGCCUGCCUGGGCGUCACACGUCGUUGCCCCCCCAUCUACUCCUUCGGGAUUGCGGGGGGCGGAUGAUGGCCUCCCGUGCGCCUCGCCGCGCGGUUGGCAUAAAUGCCAAGUCCUCGGCGACGCACGCCACGACAAUCGGUGGUGGCGAAACCUCGGUUGCCCGUCGUGUGCGGUCGUCGCGCAUCGAGGGCUCGAAAAAAUUGCCGGGUUCCGGCUCGGCUUUCAACGCGACCCCAGGUCAGGCGGGGUUACCCGCUGAAUUUAAGCAUAUCAUAAGCGGAGGA